GCCGAAGGAUUGAAUCUCGUUAACACAACGAAAUAAUUAGCUCGUCUCUCUGGAGAUAGACAGCGGUGCAUCUCCUUUUCUGAUUCACGCUUUGUUCCCCGCAAUGGAACAGCUUCGUGACUCAUACAACUAAAGCCAUCAAAGGCGAGGGAGGACUAAUUCUACACUCACUCCAUUUUUCGUGUGUGAAUUGAUCCACAUCUGCAAUCAAUAAUUUC
This 218-nucleotide long non-coding RNA is filed under the name Musa acuminata (dwarf banana). Its description in RNAcentral is "long non-coding RNA (MACU_LNC000251)". Lineage: Eukaryota; Viridiplantae; Streptophyta; Magnoliopsida; Zingiberales; Musaceae. The record is from RNAcentral.